This 497-nucleotide ribosomal RNA is filed under the name uncultured bacterium. Its description in RNAcentral is "partial 16S ribosomal RNA". It matches the Rfam family "Bacterial small subunit ribosomal RNA", at positions 28 to 507 of the family's 1533-position model. The record is from RNAcentral.
GAUGAACGCUGGCGGCGUGCCUAAUACAUGCAAGUCGAGCGAACGGACGAGAAGCUUGCUUCUCUGAUGUUAGCGGCGGACGGGUGAGUAACACGUGGAUAACCUACCUAUAAGACUGGGAUAACUUCGGGAAACCGGAGCUAAUACCGGAUAAUAUUUUGAACCGCAUGGUUCAAAAGUGAAAGACGGUCUUGCUGUCACUUAUAGAUGGAUCCGCGCUGCAUUAGCUAGUUGGUAAGGUAACGGCUUACCAAGGCAACGAUGCAUAGCCGACCUGAGAGGGUGAUCGGCCACACUGGAACUGGGACACGGUCCAGACUCCUACGGGAGGCAGCAGUAGGGAAUCUUACGCAAUGGGCGAAAGCCUGACGGAGCAACGCCGCGUGAGUGAUGAAGGUCUUCGGAUCGUAAAACUCUGUUAUUAGGGAAGAACAUAUGUGUAAGUAACUGUGCACAUCUUGACGGUACCUAAUCAGAAAGCCACGGCUAACUACGUG